Molecule: ribosomal RNA, 406 nt
Filed under: uncultured bacterium
Lineage: Bacteria
Description: partial 16S ribosomal RNA
Rfam family: Bacterial small subunit ribosomal RNA
Source: RNAcentral
AUUGAACGCUGGCGGCAGGCCUAACACAUGCAAGUCGAACGAGUGGCGGACGGGUGAGUAAUGUCUGGGAAACUGGCUGAUGGAGGGGGAUAAAUACUGGAAAAGGUAGCUAAUACCGCAUAACAUCGGAGGUGGCCAGAUGGGAUUAUCUAGUAGGGGGGGUAAAGGCUCACCUAGGCGAAGAUCCCGAGCUGGUCUGAGAGGAAGACCGGCCACACUGGAACUGAUACACGUUCCAGACUCCUACGGGAGGCAGCAGUGGGGAAUAUUGCACAAUGGGCGCAAUCCUGAUACAGCCAUGCCGCGUGUAUGAAGACGGCCUUCGGGUUGUAAAGUACUUUCAGCGUGGAGGCGUUACCCGAAGAAGAAGCACCGGCUAACUCCGUGCCAGCAGCCGCGGUAAUUC